UGCACUCACUACUGUAAGUCACUCUGGAUAAGAGCAUCUGCUAAAUGAAUGAAU
Non-coding RNA from Salmo salar (Atlantic salmon), 54 nucleotides. NCBI's taxonomy places the organism in Eukaryota, Metazoa, Chordata, Actinopteri, Salmoniformes, Salmonidae. The record is from Rfam.